RNAcentral lists this ribosomal RNA (495 nucleotides) under uncultured bacterium. RNAcentral's name for it is "partial 16S ribosomal RNA". It matches the Rfam family "Bacterial small subunit ribosomal RNA", at positions 28 to 507 of the family's 1533-position model. The record is from RNAcentral.
GACGAACGCUGGCGGCGUGCCUAAUACAUGCAAGUAGAACGCUGAAGGAGGAGCUUGCUCUUCUGGAUGAGUUGCGAACGGGUGAGUAACGCGUAGGUAACCUGCCUGGUAGCGGGGGAUAACUAUUGGAAACGAUAGCUAAUACCGCAUAACAGUAGAUGUUGCAUGACAUUUGCUUAAAAGGUGCAAUUGCACCACUACCAGAUGGACUUGCGUUGUAUUAGCUAGUUGGUGGGGUAACGGCUCACCAAGGCGACGAUACAUAGCCGACCUGAGAGGGUGAUCGGCCAAACUGGGAAUGGGACACGGCCCAGACUCCUACGGGAGGCAGCAGUAGGGAAUCUUCGGCAAUGGACGGAAGUCUGACCGAGCAACGCCGCGUGAGUGAAGAAGGUUUUCGGAUCGUAAAGCUCUGUUGUAAGAGAAGAACGAGUGUGAGAGUGGAAAGUUCACACUGUGACGGUAUCUUACCAGAAAGGGACGGCUAACUACGUG